GUGGAUGAGUGGCGAACGGGUGAGUAACACGUGAGUAACCUGCCCCUGAUUUCGGGAUAAGCCUGGGAAACCGGGUCUAAUACCGGAUACGACCAACCCUCGCAUGAGGGUUGGUGGAAAGUUUUUCGAUCAGGGAUGGGCUCGCGGCCUAUCAGCUUGUUGGUGGGGUAAUGGCCCACCAAGGCGACGACGGGUAGCCGGCCUGAGAGGGCGACCGGCCACACUGGGACUGAGACACGGCCCAGACUCCUACGGGAGGCAGCAGUGGGGAAUAUUGCACAAUGGGGGAAACCCUGAUGCAGCGACGCAGCGUGCGGGAUGACGGCCUUCGGGUUGUAAACCGCUUUCAGCAGGGAAGAAGCGAAAGUGACGGUACCUGCAGAAGAAGUACCGGCUAACUACGUGCCAGCAGCCGCGGUAAUACGUAGGGUACGAGCGUUGUCCGGAAUUAUUGGGCGUAAAGAGCUCGUAGGUGGUUGGUCACGUCUGCUGUGGAAACGCAACGCUUAACGUUGCGCGUGCAGUGGGUACGGGCUGACUAGAGUGCAGUAGGGGAGUCUGGAAUUCCUGGUGUAGCGGUGAAAUGCGCAGAUAUCAGGAGGAACACCGGUGGCGAAGGCGGGACUCUGGGCUGUAACUGACACUGAGGAGCGAAAGCAUGGGGAGCGAACAGGAUUAGAUACCCUGGUAGUCCAUGCCGUAAACGUUGGGCACUAGGUGUGGGGGACAUUCCACGUUCUCCGCGCCGUAGCUAA
This 755-nucleotide ribosomal RNA is filed under the name Actinomycetes bacterium. RNAcentral describes it as "bacterial SSU rRNA". It matches the Rfam family "Bacterial small subunit ribosomal RNA", at positions 87 to 855 of the family's 1533-position model. The record is from RNAcentral. Lineage: Bacteria; Bacillati; Actinomycetota; Actinomycetes.